This 488-nucleotide ribosomal RNA is filed under the name uncultured bacterium. RNAcentral describes it as "bacterial SSU rRNA". It matches the Rfam family "Bacterial small subunit ribosomal RNA", at positions 1033 to 1529 of the family's 1533-position model. The record is from RNAcentral.
UGAAGGUGCUGCAUGGUUGUCGUCAGCUCGUGCCGUGAGGUGUCGGCUUAAGUGCCAUAACGAGCGCAACCCUUAUCUUCAGUUACUAACAGGUCAUGCUGAGGACUCUGGAGAGACUGCCGUCGUAAGAUGUGAGGAAGGUGGGGAUGACGUCAAAUCAGCACGGCCCUUACGUCCGGGGCUACACACGUGUUACAAUGGGGGGUACAGAAGGCAGCUACCGGGCGACCGGAUGCCAAUCCCAAAAACCUCUCUCAGUUCGGAUCGAAGUCUGCAACCCGACUUCGUGAAGCUGGAUUCGCUAGUAAUCGCGCAUCAGCCAUGGCGCGGUGAAUACGUUCCCGGGCCUUGUACACACCGCCCGUCAAGCCAUGAAAGCCGGGGGUACCUGAAGUACGUAACCGCAAGGAGCGUCCUAGGGUAAAACUGGUAAUUGGGGCUAAGUCGUAACAAGGUAGCCGUACCGGAAGGUGCGGCUGGAUCACCUC